This 287-nucleotide ribosomal RNA is filed under the name uncultured bacterium. RNAcentral describes it as "partial 16S ribosomal RNA". It matches the Rfam family "Bacterial small subunit ribosomal RNA", at positions 773 to 1060 of the family's 1533-position model. The record is from RNAcentral.
GUGGAUUAGAUACCCUGGUAGUCCACACCCUAAACGAUGUACGUUGGCUUAACGCAGGAUGCUGUGUUGGGCGAAGCUAACGCGAUAAACGUACCGCCUGGGAAGUACGGCCGCAAGGUUGAAACUCAAAGAAAUUGACGGGGGCCCGCACAAGCGGUGGAGCAUGUGGUUUAAUUCGAAGCAACGCGAAGAACCUUACCAGGUCUUGACAUCCUAGGAACCCCUGAGAGAUCAGGGGGUGCCCUUCGGGGAGCCUAGAGACAGGUGCUGCACGGUUGUCGACAACU